This 459-nucleotide ribosomal RNA is filed under the name uncultured bacterium. RNAcentral describes it as "partial 16S ribosomal RNA". It matches the Rfam family "Bacterial small subunit ribosomal RNA", at positions 338 to 795 of the family's 1533-position model. The record is from RNAcentral.
CCUACGGGGGGCAGCAGUGAGGAAUAUUGGUCAAUGGCCGGAAGGCUGACCCAGCCAAGCCGCGUGAAGGACGAAGGUGCCAAGCAUUGUAAACUUCUUUUGUCAAGGGACAAAAUCAGGCUCGAGAGCCUGACCGAGGGUACUUGAAGAAAAAGCAUCGGCUAACCCCGUGCCAGCAGCCGCGGUAAGACGGGGGAUGCGAGCGUUAUCCGGAUUGAUUGGGUUAAAGGGGUGCGUAGGCGGGCUGUUAAGUCAGCGGUAAAAGCCCGGGGCUAAACCCCGGCGAGCCGUUGAAACUGGCUGUCUUGAGAUGUCGAGAGGUAUGCGGAAUGCGCAGUGUAGCGGUGAAAUGCUUAGAUAUUGCGCAGAACUCCGAUUGCGAAGGCAGCAUACCGGCGGCGAUCUGACGCUGAGGCACGAAAGCGUGGGUAUCGAACAGGAUUAGAUACCCCAGUAGUC